AGCUACUAGGGAGGCUGAGGCAGGAGAAUGGCGUGAACCCGGGAGGCGGAGCUUGCAGUGAGCCGAGAUCGAGCCUCUGCACUCCAGCCUGGGCCACAGAGCAAAAGAAAAACAAACAAACAAACUUGUCAGCUCCAUCUGCUGUAAGAAUUAUAUGAGUAACAUGGAAAUGCCUGACUAGACCCUGUUCCCGUUUUUACCCUUAGCCCGUUCAAAUCUUCAUAAGGAUAAUUAGUAGCAGUUUGAGUUCUGGGAUUCACACUCCAAACUACUGUUUUACUCACCCAGCUACCCUUUUCUGAAAUACUACUGAAAACCAUACCUGUAUCAGUUUACCUCCAUUGUUUUACUUGAAGUGAAUUCCUGGACCAUCAGACAUUAGACCAAGGCAAAAAAAUAAAAAUAAUCAAUCAAC
Molecule: long non-coding RNA, 415 nt
Organism: Homo sapiens (human)
Lineage: Eukaryota; Metazoa; Chordata; Mammalia; Primates; Hominidae
Source: Ensembl